RNAcentral lists this ribosomal RNA (253 nucleotides) under uncultured bacterium. RNAcentral describes it as "partial 16S ribosomal RNA". It matches the Rfam family "Bacterial small subunit ribosomal RNA", at positions 524 to 776 of the family's 1533-position model. The record is from RNAcentral.
UACAGAGGUCUCAAGCGUUGUUCGGAUUCAUUGGGCGUAAAGGGUGCGCAGGCGGCGAGGCAAGUCGGACGUGAAAUCCCGGGGCUUAACCCCGGAACUGCGUUCGAUACUGCCUUGCUCGAGGACUGGAGAGGAGACUGGAAUUCCUGGUGUAGCAGUGAAAUGCGUAGAUAUCGUAAGGAAGACCAGUGGCGAAGGCGGGUCUCUGGACAGUUCCUGACGCUGAGGCACGAAGGUCAGGGGAGCAAACGGG